Pelobates cultripes (western spadefoot toad) is the source of this 234-nucleotide non-coding RNA. The record is from the annotation of a GenBank genome assembly. Lineage: Eukaryota; Metazoa; Chordata; Amphibia; Anura; Pelobatidae.
GUUCCCUGUGCAGUUUGUUUCUGUGUGGUAGCUUGUGGUAAAAGCGUUUAAGCUGGGCAUAGUGGAAUUGGUAGACGUUCCUCCUUCCGUCAUUUCUCGUAAGGUCUUCAGCCCCAUCUCUGUUAGUGUCGUGUGUAGUGGGACAUAUCCUUCCUGGUUGACCAGUGGCCAUGCGGACGGUGGUAAUCCGUCUCCUAUGUUUGAGUUGUGGGUGAUGGGGAUCAUCGGGCUUGG